UACAGAGGUGGCAAGCGUUGUUCGGAAUUACUGGGCGUAAAGGGCGCGUAGGCGGCCUUCUAAGUCAGACGUGAAAUCCCCAGGCUCAACCUGGGAACUGCGUCUGAUACUGGAUGGCUUGAAUCCGGGAGAGGGAUGCAGAAUUCCAGGUGUAGCGGUGAAAUGCGUAGAUAUCUGGAGGAAUACCGGUGGCGAAGGCGGCAUCCUGGACCGGCAUUGACGCUGAGGAGCGAAAGCGUGGGGAGCGAACAGG
RNAcentral lists this ribosomal RNA (253 nucleotides) under uncultured bacterium. RNAcentral's name for it is "partial 16S ribosomal RNA". It matches the Rfam family "Bacterial small subunit ribosomal RNA", at positions 524 to 776 of the family's 1533-position model. The record is from RNAcentral.